CGGAUUGCAGGCUGCAACCCGCCUGCAUGAAGCUGGAAUCGCUAGUAAUCGCGGAUCAGAAUGCCGCGGUGAAUACGUUCCCGGGUCUUGUACACACCGCCCGUCACACCAUGGGAGUCGGGAAUGCCCGAAGCCGGUGACCGAACCGCAAGGACGGAGCCGUCGAAGGCAGAUUCGAUAACUGGGGUGAAGUCGUAACAAGGUACC
Molecule: ribosomal RNA, 207 nt
Filed under: uncultured bacterium
Lineage: Bacteria
Description: partial 16S ribosomal RNA
Rfam family: Bacterial small subunit ribosomal RNA
Source: RNAcentral